This 91-nucleotide microRNA precursor is filed under the name Canis lupus familiaris (dog). RNAcentral describes it as "mir-8799 microRNA precursor family". It matches the Rfam family "mir-8799 microRNA precursor family". The record is from Rfam by way of RNAcentral. RNAcentral also lists the same sequence under 1 other name. Lineage: Eukaryota; Metazoa; Chordata; Mammalia; Carnivora; Canidae.
CGGGGGAGGUCGGAUCCUGGGCUGUGUCCCUGGCGCCCUGUGCUCCCUUGCCUGCGCUGUUGGAAUCGCGCUCCCGGCCAAGCAGCCCUCU